This 492-nucleotide ribosomal RNA is filed under the name uncultured bacterium. Its description in RNAcentral is "partial 16S ribosomal RNA". It matches the Rfam family "Bacterial small subunit ribosomal RNA", at positions 29 to 507 of the family's 1533-position model. The record is from RNAcentral.
AGUGAACGCUGGCGGUAGGCCUAACACAUGCAAGUCGAACGGCAGCACAGUAAGAGCUUGCUCUUACGGGUGGCGAGUGGCGGACGGGUGAGGAAUAAAUCGGAAUCUACUUUUUAGUGGGGGAUAACGUAGGGAAACUUACGCUAAUACCGCAUACGACCUACGGGUGAAAGCAGGGGAUCUUCGGACCUUGCGCGAUUGAAUGAGCCGAUGUCGGAUUAGCUAGUUGGCGGGGUAAAGGCCCACCAAGGCGACGAUCCGUAGCUGGUCUGAGAGGAUGAUCAGCCACACUGGAACUGAGACACGGUCCAGACUCCUACGGGAGGCAGCAGUGGGGAAUAUUGGACAAUGGGCGCAAGCCUGAUCCAGCCAUACCGCGUGGGUGAAGAAGGCCUUCGGGUUGUAAAGCCCUUUUGUUGGGAAAGAAAAGCAGCAGGUUAAUACCCCGCUGUUCUGACGGUACCCAAAGAAUAAGCACCGGCUAACUUCGUG